Molecule: long non-coding RNA, 430 nt
Filed under: Pan troglodytes (chimpanzee)
Lineage: Eukaryota; Metazoa; Chordata; Mammalia; Primates; Hominidae
Description: long non-coding RNA NONPTRT007549
Source: RNAcentral
GAAAUGUUACCUGGAAGGUCGGGCAGGCAUGAUGGAGAGAGAGAUUUCAUUUGCUCAUGAGAGUAAAGACUUGAAGGACAUGCAGGAAUGAGGCCAGCAGAUAUCUGGAGCAGGGAGAGUGAGCCAGGCAAGGCUCUAAGAGUGGAGAGGGCUGGUGUGUUUGGAGCAAUUACCUAGUACUGUGCUUCUCAAACUGGAGCAGGCAUCAGUUCACUUAAUUGGAGCAUUUAGCCCAUUUACAUUUAAGGUUAAUAUUGUUAUGUGUGAAUUUGAUCCUGUCAUUAUGAUGUUAGCUGGUUAUUUUGCUUGUUAGUUGAUGCAGUUUCUUCCCAGCCUCGACGGUCUUUACAAUUUGGCAAGGUUUUGCAGUGGCUGGUACCGUUUGUUCCUUUCUAUGUUUAGUGCUUCCUUCAGGAGCUCUUUUAGGGCA